Molecule: transfer RNA, 65 nt
Filed under: Geoscapheus robustus
Lineage: Eukaryota; Metazoa; Arthropoda; Insecta; Blattodea; Blaberidae
Description: tRNA-Leu
Source: RNAcentral
UCUAAUAUGGCAGAUAAGUGCAAUAGAUUUAAGCCCUAUAUAUAAAGAUCUUUCUUUUAUUAGAA